GGCGGACGUGGCCAAGUGGAUUAAGGCAGUGGAUUGUGAAUC
This 42-nucleotide transfer RNA is filed under the name Plagiothecium undulatum. Its description in RNAcentral is "Buckiella undulata partial tRNA-His". The record is from RNAcentral. RNAcentral also lists the same sequence under 7 other names. Lineage: Eukaryota; Viridiplantae; Streptophyta; Bryopsida; Hypnales; Plagiotheciaceae.